GACGAACGCUGGCGGCGUGCCUAAUACAUGCAAGUCGAACGAGAGCGACCGGUGCUUGCACUGGUCAAUCUAGUGGCGAACGGGUGAGUAACACGUGGGUAACCUGCCCAUCAGAGGGGGAUAACAUCCGGAAACGGAUGCUAAAACCGCAUAGGUCUUCGAACCGCAUGGUUUGAAGAGGAAAAGAGGCGCAAGCUUCUGCUGAUGGAUGGACCCGCGGUGCAUUAGCUAGUUGGUGAGGUAACGGCUCACCAAGGCCGUGAUGCAUAGCCGACCUGAGAGGGGUGAUCGGCCACAUUGGGACUGAGACACGGCCCAAACUCCUACGGGAGGCAGCAGUAGGGAAUCUUCCGCAAUGGACGCAAGUCUGACGGAGCAACGCCGCGUGAGUGAAGAAGGUUUUCGGAUCGUAAAACUCUGUUGUUAGAGAAGAACAAGUGCUAGAGUAACUGUUAGCGCCUUGACGGUAUCUAACCAGAAAGCCACGGCUAACUACGUG
This 499-nucleotide ribosomal RNA is filed under the name uncultured bacterium. RNAcentral's name for it is "partial 16S ribosomal RNA". It matches the Rfam family "Bacterial small subunit ribosomal RNA", at positions 28 to 507 of the family's 1533-position model. The record is from RNAcentral.